RNAcentral lists this transfer RNA (72 nucleotides) under Camelus ferus (Wild Bactrian camel). It matches the Rfam family "tRNA". From Rfam's summary of the family: Transfer RNA (tRNA) molecules are approximately 80 nucleotides in length. Their secondary structure includes four short double-helical elements and three loops (D, anti-codon, and T loops). Lineage: Eukaryota; Metazoa; Chordata; Mammalia; Artiodactyla; Camelidae. The record is from Rfam by way of RNAcentral.
GAAGGUAUAGCUCAGUGGUAGAACGCAUGUUUGGCAUGCAUGGGGUCCUGGGUUCAAUCCCCAGUUCCUCCA